AACUUCGGACAGUUGAGGUUUGUUACUCUGAUUCUCCCAUUGUUUAUUAUCUUAAAGAAGUUUCUUUUACAUAUUUCCUUUACUUGACUGUUGGUUAAGUGUUUUUUGUUUCUAUGUUUUUCAUUCUGUAGUUGUUGCAAUUUGCCAUAACCCUCUAAAAUGGUUAUAAGUGGACAUUGAUUUAGUCAAGGAAGACUAGGUUUAGGAAUUAUUUUGAUUGAAUUUUUCAUUAUAAAAUAAUGAAGUCUAGGUUUCUAUUAUUUAGGAAACUUAAUUAUUUUGGAAUAGUUAAAGAGUUCUAUUAGGUUUAG
RNAcentral lists this unclassified non-coding RNA (311 nucleotides) under Hevea brasiliensis (rubber tree). Lineage: Eukaryota; Viridiplantae; Streptophyta; Magnoliopsida; Malpighiales; Euphorbiaceae. The record is from RNAcentral.